This 234-nucleotide long non-coding RNA is filed under the name Homo sapiens (human). RNAcentral's name for it is "HSALNT0076856". The record is from RNAcentral. Lineage: Eukaryota; Metazoa; Chordata; Mammalia; Primates; Hominidae.
CACAAUUGUGGCAGAAGACAUGGAAAUUUCUGCUCAUAGAGUGGUGCUGGCCGCCUGUAGUCCUUAUUUUCAUGCCAUGUUUACAGGUGAGAUGAGUGAGAGCCGAGCAAAGAGAGUUAGAAUAAAAGAGGUAGAUGGCUGGACCCUGAGGAUGCUAAUUGAUUACGUUUACACUGCAGAAAUUCAGGUUACAGAAGAAAAUGUACAGGUACUUCUCCCAGCAGCUGGUCUCUU